CCAGUCUGUGUCUUGUCUUUUCAUUAUCUUAACAAUGUGUAUCACUGAGAAAUUUACCUCCUACUUGAAAUGAAAGACAAGAACCCUCAGGACCCGAAGAUGUAUGCUCAGCAGUAUGGGAAGUAUGUACUCAAAGUUCCUCUAAGUGUGUGAGAGGAUGAAGAGCAUAAACCACUGCAGAAUCCUUUCCCCUUGAAGAGCUAAGUUUCUCCCAGGAGACCCCGUCAGGCAACAGGCAUAUGGUUCAGACUCCUCCAUCUUAUGGCCUGUUCCCCCGCUGCAGACCUUCACUAAGCACUGGCUCUGCACCAGGAGUGUGCGGGGCCCUGGCAUGCAGGGGCCC
Molecule: long non-coding RNA, 343 nt
Filed under: Homo sapiens (human)
Lineage: Eukaryota; Metazoa; Chordata; Mammalia; Primates; Hominidae
Description: non-protein coding lnc-VSX1-3:3
Source: RNAcentral